ACCCAUGAGGACAGCCUCGUGCCUGCCCCUCGGGGGGCUAUUUUCACAUACAUCAGGAGAGAGGCAGCGGCACUUGCCACCUGUCAGGACUCUAAGGCUGGUGAGUAACCGGCAUACAGAGACCACUUCCUGACGCUUCCCUCCCCAGUGUCGAACACAUACCGGGCUAGAUCUCAAUGGCUGUGUGGCUAGCUGGUCCUGGCCUGUCUCUGAUUGCUGACCAGGGCAGUCUUGGGAGGUCAGUGCAGAGGUUUUAGAAGGAGAAAGGGAAAGUCAAGCCAAACCAGAAGAUCACGAAGCAGAAGCUAGGGAGGAGCCGAGAACCCGCACUGAGCAUGGAGCGAGCAGCUUGGAAGGUCACGGCCGUCCUUCAGAGGUGUGCUCGCUUGGGUAUUCCAAGGCUGGACACUCAGAAUGGGACCAAAUUCCAAGGCGGCUCCAGGUCUGUUGUCACUUGCACUGUUGUGGACACUGUUCAAGUGUACAAAGUCCACCCUCUUCAAACAAAAUAAAACCCAGACACAAAAGCACUUGUCUACUUAACAUUUACCCAGACUUCCCCUCUGAACAAUGCAAA
This is a long non-coding RNA of Peromyscus leucopus (white-footed mouse), 577 nucleotides long. RefSeq lists it as uncharacterized. The record is from RefSeq and is a predicted model, not a curated record. NCBI's taxonomy places the organism in Eukaryota, Metazoa, Chordata, Mammalia, Rodentia, Cricetidae. The transcript has 2 exons.